Molecule: ribosomal RNA, 460 nt
Filed under: uncultured bacterium
Lineage: Bacteria
Description: partial 16S ribosomal RNA
Rfam family: Bacterial small subunit ribosomal RNA
Source: RNAcentral
CCUACGGGAGGCAGCAGUGAGGAAUAUUGGUCAAUGGACGAGAGUCUGAACCAGCCAAGUAGCGUGAAGGAUGACUGCCCUAUGGGUUGUAAACUUCUUUUAUAUGGGAAUAAAACGUUCCACGUGUGGGAUUUUGUAUGUACCAUAUGAAUAAAGAUCGGCUAACUCCGUGCCAGCAGCCGCGGUAAUACGGAGGAUCCGAGCGUUAUCCGGAUUUAUUGGGUUUAAAGGGAGCGUAGGUGGAUUGUUAAGUCAGUUGUGAAAGUUUGCGGCUCAACCGUAAAAUUGCAGUUGAAACUGGCAGUCUUGAGUACAGUAGAGGUGAGCGGAAUUCGUGGUGUAGCGGUGAAAUGCUUAGAUAUCACGAAGAACUCCGAUUGCGAAGGCAGUUCACUGGACUGCAACUGACACUGAGGCUCGAAAGUGUGGGUAUCAAACAGGAUUAGAUACCCUUGUAGUC